CCAAUUGCGAAGGCAGCUCACUAAACUAUUACUGACGCUCAUGAACGAAAGCGUGGGGAGCAAACAGGAUUAGAUACCCUGGUAGUCCACGCCGUAAACUAUGAUCACUAGAUGUUGGCGAUAUAUUGUCAGUGUUUUAGAGAAAUCGUUAAGUGAUCCACCUGGGGAGUACGUUCGCAAGAAUGAAACUCAAAGGAAUUGACGGGGGCCCGCACAAGCGGAGGAGCAUGUGGUUUAAUUCGAUGAUACGCGAGGAACCUUACCAAGACUUAAAUGUAUUUUGACAGGUUGAGAAAUCAACUUUUCUUCGGACAAUUUACAAGGUGCUGCAUGGUUGUCGUCAGCUCGUGCCGUGAGGUGUCGGGUUAAGUCCCAUAACGAGCGCAACCCCUAUUUUUAGUUACCAGCGAGUCAUGUCGGGAACUCUAGAAAGACUGCCUGUGUAAACAGUGAGGAAGGUGGGGAUGACGUCAAAUCAUCACGGCCCUUAUGUCUUGGGCUACACACGUGCUACAAUGGUCACUACAGUGGGCUGCCACCUGGCAACAGAGAGCAAAUCCAUAAAGGUGAUCCCAGUUCGGAUCGGAGUCUGCAACUCGACUCUGUGAAGUUGGAUUCGCUAGUAAUCGUAUAUCAGCAAUGAUACGGUGAAUACGUUCCCGGGCCUUGUACACACCGCCCGUCAAGCCAUGGAAGUUUGUGGUGCCUGAAGUCAGUAACCGUAAGGAUCUGCCUAGGGUAAAACAGAUAACUAGGGCUAAGUCGUAACAAGGUAACCGUA
RNAcentral lists this ribosomal RNA (781 nucleotides) under uncultured bacterium. RNAcentral's name for it is "bacterial SSU rRNA". It matches the Rfam family "Bacterial small subunit ribosomal RNA", at positions 708 to 1504 of the family's 1533-position model. The record is from RNAcentral.